This 23-nucleotide non-coding RNA is filed under the name Cricetulus griseus (Chinese hamster). The record is from RNAcentral. Lineage: Eukaryota; Metazoa; Chordata; Mammalia; Rodentia; Cricetidae.
AUUUCUGAAAAACACUGUUCUGA